This 405-nucleotide ribosomal RNA is filed under the name uncultured prokaryote. RNAcentral describes it as "bacterial SSU rRNA". It matches the Rfam family "Bacterial small subunit ribosomal RNA", at positions 355 to 774 of the family's 1533-position model. The record is from RNAcentral.
UGGGGAAUAUUGGGCAAUGGGCGCAAGCCUGACCCAGCAACGCCGCGUGAGGGAAGAAGGCCUUCGGGUUGUAAACCUCUGUCCUUAGGGACGAAAAAAAUGACGGUACCUAAGGAGGAAGCUCCGGCUAACUACGUGCCAGCAGCCGCGGUAAUACGUAGGGAGCAAGCGUUGUCCGGAAUUACUGGGCGUAAAGGGUGCGUAGGUGGCCAUGCAAGUCAGAUGUGAAAUCCCCGGGCUUAACUCGGGUGCUGCAUUUGAAACUGCGUGGCUUGAGUGCAGGAGAGGAAAGCGGAAUUCCUAGUGUAGCGGUGAAAUGCGUAGAUAUUAGGAGGAACACCAGUGGCGAAGGCGGCUUUCUGGACUGUAACUGACACUGAGGCACGAAAGCGUGGGGAGCAAACA